This 497-nucleotide ribosomal RNA is filed under the name uncultured bacterium. RNAcentral's name for it is "partial 16S ribosomal RNA". It matches the Rfam family "Bacterial small subunit ribosomal RNA", at positions 28 to 507 of the family's 1533-position model. The record is from RNAcentral.
GAUGAACGCUGGCGGCGUGCCUAAUACAUGCAAGUCGAGCGAACAGACGAGGAGCUUGCUCCUCUGACGUUAGCGGCGGACGGGUGAGUAACACGUGGAUAACCUACCUAUAAGACUGGGAUAACUUCGGGAAACCGGAGCUAAUACCGGAUAAUAUAUUGAACCGCAUGGUUCAAUAGUGAAAGACGGUUUUGCUGUCACUUAUAGAUGGAUCCGCGCCGCAUUAGCUAUUUGGUAAGGUAACGGCUUACCAAGGCAACGAUGCGUAGCCGACCUGAGAGGGUGAUCGGCCACACUGGAACUGAGACACGGUCCAGACUCCUACGGGAGGCAGCAGUAGGGAAUCUUCCGCAAAGGGCGAAAGCCUGACGGAGCAACGCCGCGUGAGUGAUGAAGGUCUUCGGAUCGUAAAACUCUGUUAUUAGGGAAGAACAAAUGUGUAAGUAACUAUGCACGUCUUGACGGUACCUAAUCAGAAAGCCACGGCUAACUACGUG